AGUGAACGCUGGCGGUAGGCCUAACACAUGCAAGUCGAACGGCAGCACAGUAGAGCUUGCUCUUACGGGUGGCGAGUGGCGGACGGGUGAGGAAUACAUCGGAAUCUACUUUUUCGUGGGGGAUAACGUAGGGAAACUUACGCUAAUACCGCAUACGCCCUACGGGUGAAAGCAGGGGAUCUUCGGACCUUGCGCGAUUGAAUGAGCCGAUGUCGGAUUAGCUAGUUGGCGGGGUAAAGGCCCACCAAGGCGACGAUCGGUUGCUGGGCUGAGAGGAUGAUCAGCCACACUGGAACUGAGACACGGCCCAGACUCCUACGGGAGGCAGCAGUGGGGAAUAUUGGACAAUGGGCGCAAGCCUGAACCAGCCGUACCGGGUGGGUGAAGAAGGCCUUCGGGUGGUAAAGCCGCUUUGUUGGGAAAGAAAGGCAGCGGGUUAAUCCCCCGCUGUCCUGACGGUACGCAAAGAAUAAGCACCGGCUAACUUCGU
RNAcentral lists this ribosomal RNA (490 nucleotides) under uncultured bacterium. RNAcentral describes it as "partial 16S ribosomal RNA". It matches the Rfam family "Bacterial small subunit ribosomal RNA", at positions 29 to 506 of the family's 1533-position model. The record is from RNAcentral.